AAAAAUAGUUCGUAGGAUAUAUGACUAUAUUAUUUCAUAACAAACACCGGAGGAACUAUCAAAAGUUGAUUCCUCCUUCCAACUGCUUUCUUGCUUCCUUCCCCAAUUUGUCUGUCACCAUAUUUCCCUUCCUGAACAUAUGGUUUACUGGUGAAUGCCCCAAAACUGCUAGGAGAGACAUACAUUCAUAAAUCAAAGAAUCAUAUAUCAGAUGACCAUUAUUUAUGCGUUGUAUUACCCCAGUUGAGUCCAGAUCGGCCUCCAAAGGUAAUAUAUUGUUUGAUACAACCACCUUAGUCCAUGUAUGAAAGGUGUUAGCUCAAAAUUAUUGUAUUUGUGCAAUUCAGUUUUCCCAUGAAUUCUUUUACCAAUCCCCAUUAUUGUUUUCACCUCUUAUACCUCUUGAUUUUUCCUUUUGGUAGUCAGUACCAUCAAUGUUUAGCUUGUAAAACCCCUUACUAGGGGAUUUCAUUUCACUAAUAUUACAGUACUGGGUCUAGGCCCGUACCCUUCUACUACUAUAUGCAUGAAUUCUACAACCCUACUAAUGGACACCGUAUAAGGAACAUGUUCCUUCUUAUUAUUAUAGCUGUUAUUGUUCCUGGUUAGCAAAAUUUUCCAAAGACAAAAUGGAAGCAAUUGUCCCAUUUGAGCAUGUCAUUGAAAAUUUGAUGCUUCACCUCGUCAAGGGUGUGUACCCAUUGGCUUUGACUAGUUACAAGGAUUGGAAAGUUGAGGUUGUAUUGAGCCUGAUCAGAUAGUUUCCCUAGCACUGCUUAGCAUUGCCACAUCAAAUGAGGAUGUGUUCUAUGGUUUUCUCCUCCUUAUUACGGAAGAAGCAUAUGUGGUUAAGGUUCAUAGCCCUGGAGUGAAGGUGUUGAGUAGCAGGGAGCCUAUCAUGGGUUCUGGGUAGUUUUUGGGUCCAAACCCGAUUGAAGUCUCUCCUAGUAUUGUG
RNAcentral lists this long non-coding RNA (955 nucleotides) under Nicotiana benthamiana. RNAcentral's name for it is "long non-coding RNA (NBEN_LNC017901)". Lineage: Eukaryota; Viridiplantae; Streptophyta; Magnoliopsida; Solanales; Solanaceae. The record is from RNAcentral.